CCCCACCCCCGUCACCCUAUGGGGGCAAUAUGACCCCAUAUUAGAAUAAAAGAGGUUAACUCCAUCCUCUGGCCCCUAACUGCAGUACCACGAGUAGGGGCAUGUUUACUAAACAGUGAGCAGCCAGUGACUACUCGCUGUCAUAAAAAAAGACCAGCAACUGGUCUCCAAUCCAAUAAAGGGGGAUCUGGUAAAGUUGUGGGGCCAUUAAAAUGAUUAAUGGGUGCUAUUAAAUAUUAUGUGAAAUAAUAAUAGGUGGGCAAUAAGCUAAAUACCUAAAAUAAUACCUACAAUUAGAUAUAUCUUCCAUCUUCUUACCUUCAGUCGCAAGACUUACCUGUCAGAGCAUUCUGAUUAGUUGGAUUAAGCCAACUCUGAGUCAAAGUGCACGGCGUGGGGAAGCCUUAAUAACCCUGGCAGGGUGAAGAUGGAUUCAUUACUCUGAUUGGUUGGAUUAAGCCAACUCUGAGUCAAAGUGCACGGCGUGGGAAAGCCUUAAUAACCCUGGCAGGGUGAAGAUGGAUUCAUUACUCUGAUUGGUUGGAUUAAGCCAACUCUGAGUCAAAGUGCACGGCGUGGGAAAGCCUUAAUAACCCUGGCAGGGUGAAGAUGGAUUCGUUACUCUGAUUGGUUGGAUUAAGCCAACUCUGAGUCAAAGUGCACGGCGUGGGAAAGCCUUUAUAACCCUGGCAGGGUGAAAAUGGAUUCAUU
This is a non-coding RNA of Pelobates cultripes (western spadefoot toad), 711 nucleotides long. The record is from the annotation of a GenBank genome assembly. Lineage: Eukaryota; Metazoa; Chordata; Amphibia; Anura; Pelobatidae.